AGCAAUUAUACCGUGAAACUCGCGAAUGGCUCAUUAAAUCAGUUAUCGUUUAUUUUGAUAGUACCUUUUACUACUUGGAUAACCGUGGUAAUUCUAGAGCUAAUACAUGCUAAAAACCCCAACUUCGGGAGGGGUGUAUUUAUUAGAUAAAAAACCAAUGCCCUUCGGGGCUCCUUUGGUGAUUCAUGAUAACUUCUCAGAUCGCAUGGUUUUUACCCGGGCGACGGUUCAUUCAAAUUUCUGCCCUAUCAACUUUCGAUGGUAAGGUAGUGGCUUACCAUGGUUUCAACGGGUAACGGGGAAUUAGGGUUCGAUUCCGGAGAGGGAGCCUGAGAAACGGCUACCACAUCCAAGGAAGGCAGCAGGCGCGCAAAUUACCCAAUUCCGAUACGGAGAGGUAGUGACAAUAAAUAACAAAGCAAGCCCUUAGGGGCGCUGCGUUGGAAUGAGUAGAAUUUAAAUCUCUUUACGACUAUCGAUU
RNAcentral lists this ribosomal RNA (481 nucleotides) under uncultured eukaryote. Its description in RNAcentral is "bacterial SSU rRNA". It matches the Rfam family "Eukaryotic small subunit ribosomal RNA", at positions 68 to 549 of the family's 1831-position model. The record is from RNAcentral.